Molecule: long non-coding RNA, 4907 nt
Organism: Oncorhynchus tshawytscha (Chinook salmon)
Lineage: Eukaryota; Metazoa; Chordata; Actinopteri; Salmoniformes; Salmonidae
Source: Ensembl
ACUCUCUCUCCCUCUUCAUCUCUCUCUCUCUCCUUCAUCUCUUUCUUUUUCUCCACCUCUUUCUCAAUUACCCCCCUCUCUCUCUCUUUUAGGCAACCAUGUUUUUAUGGCAGGAGUCAACCAAAUAAAAGCAGCCCCACCAAUCUGUGGGGGAGAAAAGCCGCUGGUUCAAUGAAGUGAUCUAUUCAACUCAGUGUUUCUCUCUCUUGCUCUCUUCAUUAAUUCCAUACUGUCCUGCCUUUUCAUCCUUUCUGUCUUUUGUUUUCUGUCUCUCUUACUUUUUAUUCCCCUCCUUCUUUCUCUGGCUGGCUGAGCUCUGACAAGGGGAUAGAAUCAAGAGUUUGGGAGAGGAGAGGGACAUUUGGGAGCGAGAUGGCGAGUGGGACGGUGGCGUUGUUCCUGUAUGGAUUCCUGCUCCUGUCUCUGUGGAAACCUUCACUGCAAGGAGGUGUAUACAUACCUGCUGGUGUAGGUGAAGCUGGGGCUGGAUUAGGAGCUGGAGCAGGAGUCAGAGCUGGAUUUGGUCCAGGUGGAGCUGGCACCAGUUUUGGGCCUGGUGGUGUAGGCACUGGAUAUGGGCCAGGUGGCGGAGCCGGAGUUGGACCAGGAGGUGUAGGUGGAGCUGGGGCUGGUCCAGGAGGUGCAGGCUUUGGCCCUGGAGCCGGUGGAGGUUACACCAAGCCAGGGAAGACGGGAGCUGGCUAUGGUGGUCAGGUUGUAGGCCAAGGCCAAGGCCAAGGAGGACUGGGGACUGGAGGUCUGGGGGAAGGAAGAGUUAGACCAGAAGGAGCUGGGGCCGGACCAGGAGGUUAUGGACAUGGCGGUGGUUUAGGAGCUGGAGGCCUUGGAGCAGGAGCUGGCAAUGGAGGUUGGGGUCCUGGAGGACAGGGGGCUGGACUAGGAGCUGGAGGUCUGGGAGGAGGAGGUCUUAGACCAGGAGCCAGACCAGGAGGUUAUGGACCAGGUGGUUAUGGGCCUGGUGCUGAUCUUAGUCUGGGCGGAGCUGUAGCUGGAGGUCUUGGUGGUGGUUACGGACUUGGCGGGGGUCUAGGUGCCGGAGGCCUUGGAGCAGGAGCUGGAGGAAAGCCAGAGAAGGCAGGAGCUGGCUACGGUGGUAGAGAUCCAGGAGGACAGGGGGCUGGACUGGGUGUUGGAGGUUUUGGACCAGGUGGCUAUGGACCAGGUGGAGCUGGUGCUGGACCAGGUGGCUAUGGGCUUGGUGUUGGUCUUGGUCCUGGGGGAGCUGGUCCUGGAGUUUUUGGUGGUGGUUAUGGACCCGAUGGAACAGGAGCUGGCUAUGUAGGUCGCAGUCCUGGGGGACAGGGGGCUGGAUUAGGAGCUGGAGGCUAUGGACCAGGUGGAGCUGGACCAGGAGGAUAUGGGCCUGGUUCUGGUGUUGGCCAGGGUGGAGCUGGUCCAGGUGGUUUUGGUGGUGGUCUUGGAGCUGGCGGACAAGGAGAUGCCCUUGGAGCUGGGUAUGGAGGUCUCGGAGCUGGGGGACUGGGAUCCAGAGGUACAGGUCAGGGGGCUGGAGGACUUGGAGCAGGCCAAGGUCUUGGAGCCGGCCAAGGAGAUGGAUACAGACCUGGAGGAGGCUACGGUGGUGCUGCUGGUGGUCUGUACCCUGGAGCUGGAGGGGCGGGGGCAGGCCAGAAACCUCCCAAAACAGGAGCAGGAAGCACACUAGGAGGAGAUGGAUAUGGACCUGGUGGUGCUGGUGGAUAUUGGCCUGGUGGCGCAGGUGGACAUGGGCCUGGUGGCGCAGGUGGACAUGGGCCUGGUGGCGUAGGUGGACAUGGGCCUGGUGGCGUAGGUGGACAUGGGCCUGGUGGCGCAGGAACUGGGCCUGGUGGCGCAGGAACUGGGCCUGGUGGCGCAGGAACUGGGCCUGGUGGCGCAGGAACGGGACCUGGUGGCACAGGUGGAUAUGGUCCUGGUGGCGCAGGAACUGGGCCUAGUGGCACAGGUGGAGUUGGCCUUGGUGGUUUUGGGCCUGGUGGCGCAGCAGUACCAGCUGGAGCACCAGUACUUCCACAGACUGGAGUCCCUGGGGGUGGAGCUAGAGAGAAGAGCGGUUGGAAGGCCAACAAACAAGUGCCAGGUGUUGGAGUACCUGGACUUUAUCAAGGUGGAAUAGUGCCUAGUCAAGGUUUCGGAGGGCGUGGGGUUCUACCAGGUGUUGCCACUGGAUCCGGACUUGCUCCCCAGACAGGGGCAGGUGUGCUGGGCCAGGGUGGAGUUGGAGCUGGCACUGGAGCUGGAGGUGGCCGAGGCAGUUUAAAUGGAGUGUUCCGUGGAUAUCCCCUCAUAUCACCUAAAUCUGGAGGGGCUGGAGGCAAAUCAGCUAAUUCCCAGGCCAAGCUUGCUGCUAAAUAUGCUGGAGCUGGAGGUGUACUUCGUCAAGGGGGCAUGUCGGGAGCAGGAGGAGUACCUAGCGGUGUACCUGGAGCAGGUGGGGUCCCUGGUUAUGGAGUUGGAGCUGGAGGUGUACUUCGUCAAGGGGGCAUGGCCGGAGCAGGAGGUGUACCUAGCGGCGUACCUGGAGCAGAUGGGGUCCCUGGUUAUGGAGUUGGAGCUGGUGGUGUACCUGGUUACGGAGGUGGAGCAGGAGGCAUACCUGGAUUCGGAGGCGUAGCCAGAGCAGGAGGCGUACCUGGUUACGGGGGCGGAGCCGGACCAGGAGGCGUACCUGGGGCAGGGGGCGUCCCUGGCUCAGGUGGGUAUGGAUACCCAGGGGGUUACCCAGGUGGAGGGCGGUACCCAGGGGCUGGCCUAGGUGUAGGAGGUGCCUACCCCGGAGGAGCUGGAUCUAAGGCAGCCAAAUAUGGUCAGGGUGGAGCAGGCACUGGAGCUGGUGGUGGGCUCAGCCAGGGAGUGCCUGCAUCUGGGAUUGGAACCGGAAGACUGCCUGGUGGGGCUGGAGGGGAACCAGGAGGCGGUUACAGGCCUGGCGGUAGCUUCGGUCCUGGAGGUGGAGUUGGACCAGGUGGGGCCAGUUAUGGACCAGGUGGGGCCGGCUAUGGACCAGGUGGAGCUGGACCUGGUGGCUAUGGACCAGGUAGUGCUGGAAGUUAUGGAACAGGUGGAGGGGUUGGACCAGGUGGUGCCGGGGAAGGACAUGGUGGAGCUGGCUAUGGACCAGGUGGAGGAGUUGGUGGAGUGCCUGGUGGUGGACACAGACCCGGAGGUGGUUUACCUGGUAGUGGUGCUGGUUACGGACCUGGUGCUGGUGUUGGAGGAUAUGAUGCAAAUGCUAAAGCUCGUAAAUAUGGUAUGCUAAGUGGUGUCCUUGGGACCCCAGGAGGAGGACAGGCAGCCAGCCUGGGAGGAGUACCAGGAGGGGGAGCAGGGACUGGAGUAGGCCAGGGUGGAGUGCCUGGAUCUGGGCUUGGUGGUGGUGGAGGUGUCCCUGGUGGUUAUGGUCCUGGAGCUGGAUUUGGACCUGGCCGUGGAACCGGUGGUGGUUAUGGACCAGGAGUGGGUGCUGGGACUGGACUUGGCCAGGGAGCAGGGCCUGGAGCUGGGCUUGGUGCUGGUGGAGUGCCUGGUGGUGGAUACAGACCCGGAGGUGGUUUACCUGGUAGUGGUGCUGGUUACGGACCUGGUGCUGGUGUUGGAGGAUAUCCUGCUGGGGCUAAGUCUCUGAAAUACGGUCCAGGAGGAGGUGGAGGAGCUCCGGGUGGAGGCCUUGGUGGGCGAUUCGGUGCCCCGGGAGGAGGUCUGCCAGGAGGAGGCUACGGACCAGGGGCAGGAGGCGCCUUAGGAGCAGGAGAAGCAGGAGCAGGAGGAAGAGUGCCUGGGGGUGGAUACGGGACCGGAGCUGGGCCUGGUGCAGGGUAUGGAGCAGGAACAGGGCCUGGAGCUGGGUACGGUCAGGGAGCAGGAGGAGUCCCUGGAGGAGGCUAUGAAGCUAGGGCAAGAGCAGGAGGACUACCUGGGGCCGGAUAUGGACCUGGAAGAGGAUAUGGAGCCGGAUCAAAACCUGCUAAAUAUGGACAAGUUGCUGGUGGGGCCGGUGGGGCCCUUGGAGGAGGAGCUGGACAAGGAUUCGGAGGGGUACCAGGUGGCUAUGGACCAGGUGGCUUCGGAGCUGGACCAGGUGGCUUCGGAGCCGGACCAGGUGGCUAUGGAGCCGGACCAGGUGGCUUUGGAGCCGGACCAGGUGGCGUUGGAGCCGGGGGCGGAGCAGGAUUAGGAGGGGUGCCAGGUGGGCUUCCAGGAGGGUACAGCGGUUCUCCCUGGGGGAAAAGGGGCUAUGGUACUGGAUCUGGAUUUAAGGCAGACAAAUAUGGACCAGGUGGGGCAGGAGGGGCCCUUGGUGCUGGGGCAGCUGGAGGUGCAGGGGCUGGGACAGGGACUGGGACCGGGACCAGAGCUGGGACAGGUGCUGGAGGAGGUGCAGGACCUACACCUGGCCCUGGCACAAGAGCAGGAGGAGAUGGCACUGGGACAGGAGCAGGAGGAGACAGGAUAGGCGCAGGAGGAGCAGGCACAGGAGGUGAGCCUGGUGGUGCCGGUGGGGUUCUAGAAGGAUCUGGAAGUUCUGCUGGCCCAGGAGAUGGCACCGGCGUCACAGCUGGUGCUGUUGGAGGAGGGGUGGGAGACACAGGAAUCCCUAGCAUUGGAGGAAAACCAGAUCAAUCGGGGCUCGGGGGGACAGCAAUCCCAGGUGGAAUUGCAGUGCCAGAAACUGGGGCUGGAGUUGUUCAACCCAGUGCUGGGGCUGGAGUUGAUGGGGUAGGAGUUCCCUCUGGAGGUUCGGAAACAGGCAUCGGUAUUGGUGCCGGCGGAAAACCCUCUAAAGAAAGACAAGCAGCUGAUGGUUUCAUUGUGUACAUGAUUUCACCAAAACAAUCUCCUGUAAAACGUAAAACAUGGAAUAUCAGCUAAGACUGUCUGAAUGAAAC